GAGCAUAGCUCAGCUGGGAGAGCGCUUGCCUUACAAGCAAGAUGUCACAGGUUCGAGCCCUGUUGUUCCC
RNAcentral lists this transfer RNA (70 nucleotides) under chicken gut metagenome. It matches the Rfam family "tRNA". From Rfam's summary of the family: Transfer RNA (tRNA) molecules are approximately 80 nucleotides in length. Their secondary structure includes four short double-helical elements and three loops (D, anti-codon, and T loops). Further hydrogen bonds mediate the characteristic L-shaped molecular structure. tRNAs have two regions of fundamental functional importance: the anti-codon, which is responsible for specific mRNA codon recognition, and the 3' end, to which the tRNAs corresponding amino acid is attached (by aminoacyl-tRNA synthetases). tRNAs cope with the degeneracy of the genetic code in two manners: having more than one tRNA (with a specific anti-codon) for a particular amino acid; and 'wobble' base-pairing, i.e. permitting non-standard base-pairing at the 3rd anti-codon position. The record is from RNAcentral. RNAcentral also lists the same sequence under 1 other name.